CCAUCACAGGCCAACAUCCUC
This 21-nucleotide non-coding RNA is filed under the name Arabidopsis thaliana (thale cress). Lineage: Eukaryota; Viridiplantae; Streptophyta; Magnoliopsida; Brassicales; Brassicaceae. The record is from RNAcentral.